GGCGCCCCGGGAGCGGGAGCGGGAGCGGGAGGCGGGAGGCGGAGGGCCGCGGGGAGGGCCCCGGGCGGGGCUGAGGACGCGCCCUGCCGACAGCUGCGACGCGGUGCUCCCUGCUGAGUCCGAGCGGGCCGGCCCGAGAGAACAAGCUACAAUAGCCCGGCAGAUGGAGUAAGUUUCCGAACAAGGAGGAUGAACAGCUGUCCGAUGGCUCCUGAACCUGUGUAGAAAUGAGUGGGACCCUCUGAAUUCUACCGGUGAUGGAUUACACAACACAUGCAGCUAAGGCUUGAAGCUCCCGAAUGCUUUAGCUCUUAGCUGGCUCUGCCAGGUGUGGUAACCUUUGUCCCCUGGUGAAUGAGCUUCUUCAAGGCAAGAGCUAGCGUCAUCUAUUUAUCAGUGUAUGCUCAGCACCAAGCACAAUACCUGGCACGCACUGAUCUAGUUCAAAUAGUAAGAAAGACACUGAAAUUGGGAAAACUUCUCGGCCCCUUCUCCCACUUCUUGCCAAUCAUUACUGAACAAACUAAUUCCAGUUACCUCAACUGAUGGGCACUUUAUUGUAGGAAUGAAUGUGUGAAAGAAGGAAGCAGACAUCUCAGCCACUGUGUAGACCAGGUAUCAUAUCAAUCCUAUGUGGAAUCCUCAGGAACAGUAGGAACUGAUGCAGAUUUGGGCCUCACAGGCACUAAAAGAAAAAGUUCAAAGCAAAUGCAGUAUCAGGAAGCUCUCAGGUCAUUACAGUAUGAAGCCAAGGUUGAGAAUCAUUGACUCAAGGGAAAAUCAACCCAUAAACCUCAAGAGGGUUUCUCUUGAAAGAACCACUGAAAGAUGGACACCAGACAACAAAGCAAGGAAUCAAGAGAAAGAGCUUAGGAAUGAAGAAGUUGUGGCGAGAGAUUUUAUUUACUUAUUCAUGAGAGACACACAGAGGCAGAGACACAGGUAGAGGGAGAAGCAGGAUCCCUGCGAGGAGCCCAAUGUGGGCCUCCUUGGAACAAUUGCUCAUGAUGCCUGCCAGCGUUUUGAGACUGGGCGGCACAGCACCUCAAGACCAGCCCAGGGAAGUAAACUAUAACAGAGAUCCAUACAGGUCAGUGGUUAUGCAACGCCGCGGAAAGCCGAGAAGGAAGGCAAACAGAUGUAGCUUCCACGUGGUGUGAUGGGCCCUCGUGCCCCAGCUGCAUUAGGCCUUUUCUGGGACUGCAGAGCUGCGUGAAGGACCAGAACCCGUUCCCACGCAGUGUAUUCUGCGCGGAUGGCCCCCUGUGAAACGUGGUAGCCCCACAUUUUUUCCUGCUCCCCCACAUUAUGUGACCAACCUGUAGCCACCUGAUAGGUUGUAAAACUAGUUUUCCUGCUGUCUUGCCACCUAAUCAGUUCUCACGUGAGUUCUUUUUUUUUUUUUUUUUUUUUUUUUCCUCUGGGUCAGAGGAUCAUGAGUUCUUGGGUUCACUGUGGUCAGAGUCAAUAGCCACCUUUCCGGAAGCUGCUUGCCAAUGAGAUAAUUCAGAAUUUCUUCGGGAAACACCAAUAUCUAAAUCCACACAGAUUUUCCAUUUUUCUAACUAGAACAGCUGAAUACAGCUUAGUCAGGAACACCCUAGGAUUAGCAGGCUGUCAAACACUCUUAAUUACAUUUGGACUGUUUGGCAUCUCUCACAUCUGGAGCCCUGAAGUAUUAAGCAAGUCAUGUGACUAUUUAAUUGGGUCAAGAUGGCCUUUCCUAAAGUUAGGCAAUUGUUCCCACCAACAGUCUUCAUGUUUCUGGUUUGGAAAAGAGAUAUAACACUGUUUGCUAUGUGCCUCUUACUAUAAAUGUUGGACACUGUUCUAAGCACAUAAUAUGAACUAAUUCAUUUAAUAUGGUGCUACCAUAUAAGGAAACCCAGGCAUUGAGAAGUCAGGCGACCUGCUCCUAGUCACAUAGCCACCCUUCCCUAGCCUGCUUUGCCUUUGGCUAUUCCAUACUUGAUUUUAGCCAGCAGCCAGAGGAAAGGGAAAAAACUCCACAGUAAAGUUUGUUUCUAAUAGCUGCAGAGGAGUAUUUCAUUCUGUUACCAAAUUUACCAUGAAGAGUUUGAUUCCAGCCAUACAAAGAGCUUUAAAAAAUAUACUAAUUUCACAGUCAUGUAAUUCCGAUUCUAAAAAAAAUGUGUAUUUGAGAUAUAAUGAGAGUCUUUCCCCAUUUUAUUUGUCAUAUUUUUUUUUCUAAAAAGUUGCUUUAUGGGGCAGCCCGGUAGCUCAGUGGUUUAGCGCUGCCUUCAGCCCAGGACCUGAUCCUAAAGACCCAGGAUCGAGUCCCACAUCAGGCUC
RNA transcript from Canis lupus familiaris (dog), 2313 nucleotides. RefSeq lists it as uncharacterized. Lineage: Eukaryota; Metazoa; Chordata; Mammalia; Carnivora; Canidae. The transcript has 7 exons. The record is from RefSeq and is a predicted model, not a curated record.